UAGUGCUAUAAGUUCAAAGUUAUCUGAUGCCUGAUUCAUUAGUUUCGCUCUGUAUCAUUGAUGGUUCAAUUUUCCUAACCCGGCACUGGGAAGGGAAAGUAUAUGAUUUCAACAUAGGGCAGCUUAAUGCAUGGAUAACACAAAAUUGGUCCAUGGCACCGAAAGAUCCUUAUUUUAGAUAAAAAUAACACCAAAAGAUUCUGGUUCUGGUACACUUUAAUAUCACCGAAAGUUUUCAAUCUUUGGCUUCUUAGCAUUCUGUGAACUUCUCCAUCUAUUGCAAUCAUCUGCCUUUACUUGGUUACUCUAAGUCCACGCCCAGUUUAUCCUUUUGCCCUUGCAAUACUCCUUUAUACCAUUAUAGACAUGCUGACAUGCACAUACGUGCUCACUAUCUUCUCAAAUCUACACUGUCAUUGGGUUCACCCUGGAACAAAAGAUUUAUUGCUUGUUGGGAUGAACUAGGACUAGUUGUUAGUUCAAACUAAAAAUUAGUUAGCUAAAGUUAAGCUAGCUAAAGAAUUAUUGUGGUGCGUUUGAAUCCCCAACUAAAAGUUCCAUGGACACCUAUUAGUUCCAUUAGCUGGGAUUGCCCACCUAAUGGACUAGUUGUUAGUUGGGGUCUAGACUAAAAAUUAGUCCACCUAUUAGUUUGCUUGUUUGAAUGGACUAGGACUAUUUUUAGGCCAUUAGUUAGUCCAAGUGAUCCACACAGGCCCUUAUACAGUAGAUAGCAAGCACAUCUUGCGCAGAGAUAAACAAAGUUAGGUUGGAAAGGUAGGCUAGAGACGUAGAGUCAUGUUCUUACCCAUGGGAAAUGUAGGAGGUCCAUGAAUUUAUUCUACCUUUUUUUUUUUGCUUUGAUACUCAACGGCAAACGAAACAACCAAUUUUAGGGUUUGAAUUGUUGAUUUCCCCCAAACUUUAGGGUUCACCAUCAAUUCAAAUAAAACUGAAAGGGGGUUCCUUACCUGCUGCUGGCUGGUUUUCCAAGACCUGGAGCAUGUGCCAGGGCAAGGGAGGUUGGUAACACCCACAUGCCGCAGGGACCAAACCUCCCUGAUCUUGUCAGGGUGCAUGCACCAGCUGCAGGCCACUGUUGUUAGUCCCUGGGAUUCCUGCACAGGUAAGCAGUAAGCUUACCAGCACACCCACACACUCACUCACUAUGGCUAGAGGUAGAAGAAGGGGUUGAGCUCAAGCACACACACAUAGCACAAGCACCAGCGCUGGCCAGAGCUCUGCUCUUUGGUUUGUGGCAACUGAACUGAAAAAUACAUUACUAGGGCUGCACUUAUAUACACAAAGGGGUAGGUUUAGUUUGUGUAUGAACUGAAGCUACUGAAGGUGGGCUGCUGUACUGCAGUCAGUCUACUAUCCUAGCUGCAGGAUAAGCCUGCAAUACUUAUUAGCUAAGGACACAAUGGCCUACCAAAAAUCUGUGUCCUCACUACUCCUAGUCAAGUGUUCCCACUACAGCUUGACUGCUGUUCAACCUUUCAAAGCUGGUCUUUAGUUUCACAUUUCUAGUCACCAAGCUGCAGCCUUGACUGAAGAUUGGUCUGCAGUUGCAGAUUUCUUUGCAAGUCCAGCAGCAAAUUAUUCAACAAUUCUUCCCCUAAUCUUGCUGCUCUUGCUUGAUUUCCACCAUUCCAAUCUUGGUCCUCAGCUCCAUGAACCGAAGACGGCCGAGUGGCUUGGUGAGGAUGUCUGCGAGCUGUCGUCCGGUUUCGACAAACUCCAGAACAAUCUGACCUCCAUCGACACAAUCACGGAUGAAGUGAAAACGAGUGUCGAUGUGCUUGCUGCGGUCGUGGAGGACUGGGUUCUUUGCAAGGGCGAUGGCGGGCUGAUUGUCCACCAUCAGGGCUGGCGGGUGAGCUUCCUUGCCAGUCAGCUCGCCCAACAGCCGGCGCAGCCAGACAGCCUGGCAUGCCGCCGUGGCUGCUGCGACAUACUCCGCCUCACAUGUCGAUAGCGCCACGAUUUUUUGCUUCAGCGACUGCCAAGCAAUGGGCGCUGCUCCAAGGAAGACGAGCACACCAGAGGUGCUCCGUCGACCAUCAAUGUCGCCUGCCAUGUCUGCAUCGCUGAAAACAGUGAGCUCCGGCUCACCUUUAGUCUUGGGGGGUGUCUCGCUGAAGAUCGUGAGCCUUAGCCCACCUUUGCCGCCACGCUUGGGGAAGAUGAUCGCUUGAUCAAGCGACCCUUUGACGUAGCGCAGCAGCCUCUUGACCGCCAUCCAAUGAUCUUCUCGCGGGUCCUCCAUGAAACGGCUGACGUACCCAACCGCGAACGCAAUGUCCGGCCGGGUAUGAGUGAGGUAGCGCAGCCCACCGACGAUGCUCCGGUAGCGUGUCGCGUCAACCUUCGCAGCGGUGCUGUGCUUGCUUAGCUUCAGCCGCUCCUCCAUUGGAGUCGCGCACGGCUUGCAAUCUGCCAUGCCGCCGCGCUCCAGCAGCUUCUCCGCAUAGGCAUGCUGGCCCAGGGAGAUGUGCUCCUUCCCCUGCCUCACCUCAAUGCCGAGGUAGUAGGAGAGCAUGCCGAGAUCGCUCAUCUUAAAUCGAGCUGCCAUCUCGUGCUUGAAACGAUCAAUGUCCUCCGCUCGCGCUCCAGUGACGAUCAAAUCGUCCACAUACACGCCGACGACGAGCUCCUCCUUCCCCCGUCGCCGCGUGUAGAGCGCGUGCUCUGUGGCGCAGCGAGCGAACCCAAGCUCGCCUAAGGUAGCAUCAAGCUUGGCGUUCCACGCUCGAGGGGCCUGCCGCAGCCCGUAGAGCGCCUUGCGCAGCUUGAGCACCUUGUGCUCAGCACCCUUGACGGCGAAGCCUGGAGCUUGCUUGACGAAGACCGUCUCCGCAAGCUCGCCGUUGAGGAACGCAGACUUGACGUCGAGGUGGUGGACACGCCAAUCCUUCGCUGCUGCCAUAGCCAACAGCAAGCGAACGGACUCCAUGCGCGCUACCGGAGCAAAGACUUCCUCGAAGUCGAUGCCCUCACGCUGCACAAAACCGCGGGCAACAAGCCGAGCCUUGUACUUGACAAUGGCACCGCGCUCAUCCCGCUUCACCUUGUAGACCCACUUUAGCCCAAUUGGCCUGCAGCCCGCCGGUGGAUCCACCAGCUCCCAUGUCCCAUUGUCCUCGAUCGCCCUCAUCUCCUCCAACAUUGCCCGACGCCAAUUGGCGUCCCGUUCAGCCACUGUGAACGUUGGCGGCUCCUCUGCGCUAACAAGGAGUAGCUCUGGGUCAUCUAGAAGCCGACUAGCCAACCCAGGAGCUCGCCCUUCGCCGACAAUGUUGUCCACGCGUCUGAACCGGACCUCCUCGCCGUCGUGGAAAGCAUCCACGUACUCAUCGAUGUUGGUGGGUGGAGAAGCGAAUUCCAGUGGUGGUGUCCCCUGUCCUGCUGUCGCAGGAGACUGUGGUGGAGGUAAAUGCGCUGCUGCUGGUGGAGACUGCUCUCCAGCAGCAGUCUGUUCUGCAGCAGCAGCCUGCUCUGUAGCAGCUGCAGCCUGCUCUCCAGCAUCUGCAGCAGCCUGCUCUCCAACAGUAGCAGCAACAGCCUGCGCUCCAGCGCCACCUCCUCCUUGCAUCACCAAGUGCUCGAUGGUGAAGGUGCUGCUGACGCCACCAGCUUCGCCGGCGCCUUGCUGCACCCAAUCCCAAGCAGCCAUCUCAUCGAACACCACAUCCCUAGAGAUCACCACCUUACCUCUCUUGGGAUCAUAGAGCCGAUAGGCCUUGCUGCCCUCCUCGUAGCCCAACAGCACCAUGGGCGUGCUUCUGUCUUCCAGCUUGCCGAGGUGGGGCUUUGUGUUCUUGACAUGGCCAAUGCAACCAAAUGUCCUGAGGAAGGAGACAUUAGGCUUGCGUCCAUGCCAAGCUUCGAACGGCGUCUUGCCUUUCAAGGCCUUGGUGGGCGCACGGUUGAGGAUGAACCCCGCUGUGGUCACCGCCUCGCCCCAGAACUCCGCCGGCAUCUUCUUGGCCUUCAUCAUCGACCUCGCCAUGCCGACCACGGUCUGGUUGCGCCUCUCCACCACGCCAUUCUGCUGUGGUGUGUACGGUGCGGUGUGGUGGCGCACCACACCUUCCUCCGCACAGUACGCAGCGAACUCCAUAGAAGUGAAUUCGCCUCCAAGAUCAGUCCGCAGCACGCGCAACUUCUUGCUGCUCUCCGCCUCCACGCGUGCCUUGAACUUCUUGAUUGCUUCCGCCGCUUCGCUCUUGCUGGUCAAAAGCUGCAGCCACAUGAACCGGCUGCAGUCAUCUACCAGCAAGAUGAAAUACUUGCGGCCUCCAUGUGUCGCCGGCGUGAUUGGCCCACAGAGGUCACCGUGGACCAGCUCCAGGGCCUCAGCCGCGCGAUACUUCGCCAUCUUCGGGAACGGCAGCCUCCUUUGCUUCCCGGCCAGGCAGCUGUCACACAGCUCACCUGCGUGCUCAAUGUGAGGCAGCCCCCGGACCAUCUUCUCCAGCUUGCCGAGGGCGUCGAAGCUGAGAUGGCCAUAGCGGGCGUGCCACAGCCAUGGCUCCUCCAUGCGCUGUGCAGCAAGGCAGAUGGGCUGCUCCACCUUCAAGUUGAGAAGGUACAGCCGGUUCCGGGACCUCUUCACCUUGGCAAGAAGUCGCUGCUCCCGGUCCCUGAUCUUGAGGACGCCGUCCUUGAUCAGCACCUCGCUGCCGCGCAUCUAGCUGGCCAAUGCUGAUGAUGUUUGAACGCAGCUGCGGGAUGUAAUACACAUCCGUCAGUGCGCGGUGCUCGCCGUUCUGGCACCUGAAGAUGAUGGUGCCACGCCCUUGGAUCGCCACCCUUGAGCCGUCACCAAACUUCACCGUGCCGGUCACGUUCCCGUCGAGCUCGGAGAAGGCCUCCUUGGAACCUGUCAUGUGGUUGCUGGCGCCGGAGUCCAGGUACCACUGCUGCUCCUGCUCGCUGCCCACACGUCCGAGGUGGACUUGGGCACGCGGCUCGUCGAGGUUGACGGCCUUCAGAGCCUUCCCGUGCUCCUGUACCGCCAUCACCUCUCCCUUCUCCUUGGCCUCAACGUCGUGCAGUGCACAGAACGUCGCCAUCAUGAGAGUAGCCUCAUCAUCAUCAUCAUCAUCAUCAGCCUGCGCCAAAUGAGCUUCGGCCUUCUUCUCCUGCUUGCGAUUUGGGCACUCCUUUGCCCAAUGGCCUGUCUUCCCGCAGCGCCUGCAAGCGUUGGGGUCGAUCUUCUUCUUCUUCUUCUUCUCCGAAGAAGCCUUGCCACGGCGCUUGCCAUCGCCACCGCGGCUGGAGGAGGCUUCCCCGGACUUCUUCUCCUUCAUCCGGGCAGCCCACUCCUCCUCUGUCAGCAGCAGCUUGCCGCUGUCCGUCGUUGCUGUGGCCUGCUCCAUGCGCUCGUCCACCGCCCGUAGACGGCCCGUCACAUCUUCAAUAGUGAGGGUGGACAGGUCCAACAUUGUCUCUAUGGAGAGAGCAAUUUGGAUGUACUUCGGUGGCACGGAGUGGAGGUACUUGGAGACUGCCUCUUCUUCGUUGAUGGUGACGCCGUAGCUCCCCAGCUUGCUGAUGAGCGACGACAGGCGGAGGGAGAACUCCUCCACCGACUCUCCAUCCUUGAACUUGAGGUUGGCGUACUCCUGCUUCAGCAGCUGGGCCGUUGCCUUCUUUGCGCGAUCAGAGCCGACGCGCAUUGCAGCAAUGGCCUCCCACGCCUCCUUAGCAGUCUUCUUCGCCCCCAACGGCUCCCUGUACUCCGUCGGCACAGCAGCGAGGAUAGCCUCCAUCGCUGACAUGUCGUCUUCUUCCUUGUCGGUGCCCUUGUCAAUGACAUUCCAAAGCCGUCGGGCUCUGAGCUUGACCUUCAUGGUCACCGCCCACUCGCCAUAGUUGGUGCGAGUCAGCAUCGGCCAACUUGUGCCGCUGACCUCCCGCACGGUGCGCACCACGACCUCCUGUCGUGGCUGGGCAGCCCCAGCAGCACUGCUGCUGUCAGCAGUCUCUGAGCCAGGUGCCAUCGCUGGCGGUUAGUCUGGCGACGCAGCUAUACGGCUUUGAUACCACUUGUUAGUCCCUGGGAUUCCUGCACAGGUAAGCAGUAAGCUUACCAGCACACCCACACACUCACUCACUAUGGCUAGAGGUAGAAGAAGGGGUUGAGCUCAAGCACACACACAUAGCACAAGCACCAGCGCUGGCCAGAGCUCUGCUCUUUGGUUUGUGGCAACUGAACUGAAAAAUACAUUACUAGGGCUGCACUUAUAUACACAAAGGGGUAGGUUUAGUUUGUGUAUGAACUGAAGCUACUGAAGGUGGGCUGCUGUACUGCAGUCAGUCUACUAUCCUAGCUGCAGGAUAAGCCUGCAAUACUUAUUAGCUAAGGACACAAUGGCCUACCAAAAAUCUGUGUCCUCACUACUCCUAGUCAAGUGUUCCCACUACAGCUUGACUGCUGUUCAACCUUUCAAAGCUGGUCUUUAGUUUCACAUUUCUAGUCACCAAGCUGCAGCCUUGACUGAAGAUUGGUCUGCAGUUGCAGACUUCUUUGCAAGUCCAGCAGCAAAUUAUUCAACAACUGUGACCUAGCAGAAGACUAUGAAUGUGUCACUGGGCACUUGGAGAAGAGGAGCGAUAGGUCAUGAGGGAAGGUGUUAUGGACGAGGUGCCAGAUGUUAUGGUGAUGGAUAUUUGGGAUAGAUAACUAGGCCUUAUGCUUUGCCAAGAGCUUGAGAGAUUGAGGGGGUAUUUUGGGAUAACUAGGCCUUAUGCUUUGCCAAGAGCUUGAGAGAUUGAGGGAGACUAGAAUUGUUUCUUCAUAAUUCAUUGCUUAUCAAUAGAGUCUACAAAUAUUUAUGUCCCUUCUACUUCACCUCUUUUGCUAAAUAACCUAUCUGGGACUAAUAUAAAUUGCAAAUACAAAGAUAAAUAAACUUAUAAAGAUAACUGAGCCGAACUUUCAGCCCAUCGGCCCUGGCAGCCUGUUGGCUGCCCAUGACAUCUCCCCCUCCCUUGAGGACCAGCUCGUCCUCGAGCUGCAGUGAUAGUGGUCGAGGAAGGUGCCGAGAGCGUCCUGGAUCCCAUGGGAAGAGACGAGUAGCCAGCUGGUCACCCUGGAGGUCGUUGUGGCUUGAGCCCCUUGAACCAGGGAAGGCUGCCACCACUGGAAGCUCUUGCUGCUGGAAGCUCUUGCCCGAGCCCCUUGCUGGAGUGGUCGGCACGACAACGAGGGUGGUCGGCGUGACGACGAGGGUGGGCGGCGACGGUGGCAGGUGGAGAUGAUGAGGCUGUGGCGCGGCGGCUAUGGUGAUGGGGGUGCGGCGGCGGCUGGUGGCGUUGCUGUGGCGGCGCGGCACGAUGGAUGAGGUAGGCGACGCGGCGAUCUAGAUCGAUAUUUGUUUUUUGUUUGAAACGGCUGAUGGAGGAUCGGAGGUGCUGGAGGAUCCGGCUGAUGGAAGAGGAUCGCUGGACUCUAGAUACCAGAUGUUAUGGGCGAGGUGCCAGAUGUUAUGGUGAUGGAUAUUUGGGAUAGAUAACUAGGCCUUAUGCUUUGCCAAGAGCUUGAGAGAUUGAGGGGGUAUUUUGGGAUAACUGGGCCUUAUGCUUUGCCAAGAGCUUGAGGGAGACUAGAAUUGUUUCUUCAUAAUUCAUUGCUUGGUUAUAUCAAUAGAGUCUACAAAUAUUUAUGUCCCUUCUACUUCACCUCUUUUGCUAAAUAACCUAUCUGGGACUAAUAUAAAUUGCAAGUACAAAGAUAAAUAAACUUAUAAAGAUAACUGAGCCGAACUUUCAGCCCAUCGGCCCUGGCAGCCUGUUGGCUGCCAAUGACAGAAGGAGGGUUUGCCAGAGGCUGCUGCUUGGGUCACUCAGCCGAGGUGCUUUGAGUCAGCAGGGUGAGAAGAAAAGCAUAGAGUAGAUUGCAUCUCCAUACAUGCACUUUCAAAAUAGAAAAGCCAUGGGACACUGUAGCGUUUCUUGUUGCAGACCGAAAUGGGAAAAUAGUGAGAAUGCUAACAGAAGUUAGCAAAGUUCUAAAAGCUUAGCCUUUUGUUCAUUUGGUGCUAUUAAACUGUACCAUACUCUCACGGUGCUAGCUUUUCUAAAACCAAAUCUUUGGGUGCUACAAAACCAAUUUUGCCUAAUGUUAUAUUCUGAUUGCUGGUAGAAUAAUGUAGUAGCAAGUCAAACAUAUGUGACUUGAUUCUGAACUAACAUGAUAUGCAUUUCGUCCUUCUAAUUCACUGACUUCAAAUGUCACAUUCAAUCUUUGGAAUUUCAAAAUGCCCAAAACCCUUCGGGACUCUGUUCAGUACUCCCAGUACCAAUUCCUGUGGCAUCAAAACACCCAGAUUUUGAUAAAACCCAAUUCUAGUUUCAAAACUCAAGGCCCAAUUCUAGGUAUUCAAAAUCGUAAUAGGGUGCUAGGUUGGAAUGCUAGGACAUGGUGAUUUCUCUGUGAUCAUGUGCUGCAUCUAGGGCCUGCUCAGAUUGAUGCCUGGCAGGCAUUUGCCUGGCCAGGCAACAAAUCGUGGCCCCAGGUGUCCAAAAAAUUGGAUGCUUGGGAGGUCUGCCUGGCCCAGGCACCCUUUUCAAGCCACCAUCCAAACAGGCCCCUGUUAUUGAUCCGUGCAUGUAUUAGGAUGAUGGAGCAAUUGAAGUUUUCCAGGAACUGUGUCAAUGUUCUAUAUGACAUUAUUAGUUCAUUUUUUUCCUUCAGUGCUUGUUUGGAUAUACCCAUUUUUUGUGUAUUGGAAUAGAUUGGGAGGGAUUGAGGGGGGCAAAUUAGUUCCCUCUCCAUUCCACAUGUAUUAGGAGGGGGUCUGUAUGAAUAAUCCCUUAAAAAGAAAUCAGAUUCUAGGAGGUCUUGCACUCUUGCAUGUUGCUUAUUCUUUACGUUACACUUUUAAUGGCAAUUGUGCUGACACAUAAUCUCUGUUGGUAGCGG
RNAcentral lists this long non-coding RNA (8932 nucleotides) under Sorghum bicolor (sorghum). Its description in RNAcentral is "long non-coding RNA (SBIC_LNC011188)". The record is from RNAcentral. Lineage: Eukaryota; Viridiplantae; Streptophyta; Magnoliopsida; Poales; Poaceae.